Molecule: long non-coding RNA, 531 nt
Filed under: Nicotiana benthamiana
Lineage: Eukaryota; Viridiplantae; Streptophyta; Magnoliopsida; Solanales; Solanaceae
Description: long non-coding RNA (NBEN_LNC023508)
Source: RNAcentral
AUAAGGGAACAUGGUAGAACAUGUUGAAAAUUAGAGAAAACUUUAAAAGAUAACUUAAUGAAAUCCUAUAUCGGAGAAGAUAAAGGUUCUGAAGGUAAAGUUUUGAAAGAAACUUUGAGAAAAUAUGUAAAAGCUUAGAGAAAACAUAGAUAUACAACGAAUCUAAAAGAAUCGGAAAAACCUUGAAGGUUAGGAUUUUAGAAGAACCCAGAUGGUGAGAAAGGCUUGGAAUGUCCUUGAUCUAAGUAGGAGAAGUCAAGAUCAGGCUUGAAUAACCAUGGCUGGCCGGAGUAAGGUCGAAGAAGACCAGAGACAGCAUAGCACUAAAGUAGACCAAGGUGUGGAUCAAACUUCAUCAAGGUUUGGUCUUGAAAGCAUGAUAAUCAAGCAGGUAGAAGUUGUAGGAGGCAGAUACAUGCCUUUAAUGGCUUUGGAAACCAUUGAUUCAGGCGAUUUUAGGGUGGUGGAAGAAGGCGGCUGCUAGGUUUGAGAGAGAGUUUGGGAGAAGGGGGAUUCAAGGGCGGCUACUGG